Molecule: non-coding RNA, 1424 nt
Organism: Oryza sativa Japonica Group (Japanese rice)
Lineage: Eukaryota; Viridiplantae; Streptophyta; Magnoliopsida; Poales; Poaceae
Source: RefSeq, a predicted model, not a curated record
GGUUUGGGACCGGUUAGGGUCAAGGUGGCAGUAUGUUCACCGGAGGAAAUUCAGGGAAGCACCUCUGUGUUCAUAAACAGGGUGGGAUAUAGAAUCAGAUGGGAGACUGAAGAAGGAAACAUGGAGCAACUGAAUCCUUCUCCAAAGAAGAAAAAAGAGGAAAAACAAAAGGAUGUUGACAAGGAUAAAGGUGAUGACAAGGGUCCCUCCAAAAAAAAGGGAGAGUCAUCGAAGGAUGGAGAAGCAAAAGGGAGCAGAGGGCCUUAACCUCAUUCAGCUCCACCAAAACUGCCAGGGUCAAAACAACAGCAGUUGCUGGCCCUGACAAUGAACCAAGUUUCAGAGAAGAAUGGGGAUUAUAAGAAUCCUGAGACAAUACUAAAAUCUGGAAGAGAUGCAGGCAAGGAGAUGGUAGUAUGGGAGUCACAAAUGGAGCAAAAGGUAAACACAAAAGGAGUGCCAGCUGAUCAGUCUCUAGAUAUGCUCACUCAGAUGGAUGUGGAAAAAAUUGACAGUCUGUCUCAGAAUCUGAAUGACUCCUAUGAGGCUGAAGAUGAAGUGGACUAUGACUACUCUGAUUUAGAGGUGCAGGAGGGGAUGAUCUCAACUCAGAAACUGGAAGCUUACUUUGAAGAAGAAGGCAAAGAGAAAGAUAAGCCAAACAGGGGAGAAAUCUGCUUGGGGAAGAGGAUAACAUGAGCAUGGAGAUAGAAAUCAAUCAAGAGGGAGAUAAGGAAAAUGAGCAACCCAUGCAUGAAGCUAAGAAGAGAAGAAAAGAGGUGGUACAGGCUAUCAGGCAGAGUGACAGGAUCAAAAAUAAGGAUAUCUCGGUGGCGACCAAGGCUGAAAUCAGAACUUCAAAGAAGAAUUUGGAUGGAGAAAUGGAGUUUGCUACAAAGUGAAGAGAUGAAGGGCAUCCUGAAAACUUGGAUAGAAGAGAUGAGUUGGAAAAUGAAGCUUUGGAGACCUGAAGUUCAUCUGCCAGAAGAUAUCUGAUAAUUUUCUAAGAAAUGCCUUAGUACUGUGUCACUGUUCCCCAAACGUUUUGUCAUUUCCUUUUAGGAACUCUAUCAGGGGUUUUGCAUGGAGCCUGUUCCAGCUUGCAAAACUUUUUUUUUCUCUUGCUUGCAGUACUUUUGUCUUGGGCUUUCUCCAAAAAGCCGGAUCGUUAUCUAAUAUAAUGAUCUUUCCUCUAAAAAAAAGUUGUGAUUCAAAUUCAUUUACACUCAUACAAAGACCCACUUCGGACGGAGCGAAGCGGAGGCCCAUUGUGUUGUGCACGGUGCCGACGAUGGCGUUGACGGGGAGGACGCUGAGGCCGAGGACGGCGAGGAACACGGACACCGUGCCGAUGUCCCAGCCGAAGUAGUAGCCGGUGACCACGCUCGAUUCGGCGAGGAGGAUCUCCAUGGCGUACUUGAGCA